Molecule: ribosomal RNA, 253 nt
Filed under: uncultured bacterium
Lineage: Bacteria
Description: partial 16S ribosomal RNA
Rfam family: Bacterial small subunit ribosomal RNA
Source: RNAcentral
UACAGAGGCGGCAAGCGUUGUUCGGAUUUAUUGGGUGUAAAGGGCAGGUAGGUGGCUAUGCAAGUCCGCGGUGAAAUCUUUGGGCUCAACCCAAAAACUGCCGUAGAAACUGCAUGGCUUGAGUAUCGGAGAGAUGAGGGGAAUUCUCGGUGUAAGGGUGAAAUCUGUAGAUAUCGAGAGGAAUACCAGUGGCGAAGGCGCCUCAUUGGCCGAUAACUGACACUGAGCUGCGAAAGCAAGGGGAGCAAACAGG